This 469-nucleotide ribosomal RNA is filed under the name uncultured bacterium. RNAcentral describes it as "bacterial SSU rRNA". It matches the Rfam family "Bacterial small subunit ribosomal RNA", at positions 329 to 794 of the family's 1533-position model. The record is from RNAcentral.
UUCCAGACUCCUACGGGAGGCAGCAGUGAGGAAUAUUGGUCAAUGGGCUUACGCCUGAACCAGCCAAGUCGCGUGAGGGAAGACUGCCCUAUGGGUUGUAAACCUCUUUUGUCAGGGAGCAACGCCGGCUACGCGUAGCCGGACUGAGAGUACCUGAAGAAAAAGCACCGGCUAACUACGUGCCAGCAGCCGCGGUAAUACGUAGGGUGCGAGCGUUAAUCGGAAUUACUGGGCGUAAAGGGUGUGCAGGCGGCUGAGUAAGACAGAUGUGAAAUCCCCGGGCUUAACCUGGGAACCGCAUAUGUGACUGCUUGGCUAGAGUGCGUCAGAGGGAGGUGGAAUUCCACGUGUAGCAGUGAAAUGCGUAGAUAUGUGGAAGAACACCGAUGGCGAAGGCAGCCUCCUGGGACGCAACUGACGCUCAUACACGAAAGCGUGGGGAGCAACCAGGAUUAGAUCCCCGAGUAUA